AACAGAAAUCCUGCCUCUUCUCGCAGCUCUGCUACAAGCUGCCUAAUUAGGAUUUAUGGGUGGCCAUGAUAAAAAUGUCUGCAUGACCUGAAGUGGUUUAAGUUCAAGCCUUGCACCCAAUGUCAUUGAAGAGCCAUUCACCGUGUGUGGAGCUCAGUGGUUGUUUCCUGAAGUACAUCCUCACUGUGACUGUAGACUCUGCUGUAUUGCCUUUGGAUCCCAGGACGAAUGGCACCAUCCCAGUUGAAUGCCACUCUCCCCUCUUCAGCGAGAAUAUGAAAUGACAAUGCUAAGUAUGACAACAAUGACAGCUUUGUUGCCUCAUCAUCUCUGACUAGUGCCAAAUAGCCCAUGUCUAAGCCAUCACCACCCACCAGUAACACCCUGGCCAGUCUGUGAUCAUUUCUGACCUUCUGGCCUCCUGUCUCACCUGCCCACCAUCAGCUUCCAGCCCUCUUGCCUCACACACCACCCUCCACAGAG
This is a long non-coding RNA of Prionailurus viverrinus (fishing cat), 483 nucleotides long. RefSeq lists it as uncharacterized. The record is from RefSeq and is a predicted model, not a curated record. The transcript has 3 exons. Lineage: Eukaryota; Metazoa; Chordata; Mammalia; Carnivora; Felidae.